AGGGCUUGGCCAUGACGGGCAUCUCAAGUUCCCCGAGGACCGGAGAUCACCCCCUUAUCAUAGUCAACCAGAUAACAAUACCAUAAAAAAGUAUAACUCCAACAUAAGAUGAGAUAGAAGAAUAUGAUUCAGACUCAAAAGAGUCUAUAAGUUCAAUAACAAAUCCCAUGUCCAUAGUACUAUCACCCAAAGCCUCUAACAAAACCAAAGAUAGAUUGGCCAGGACAUGCCCCCGAC
This 237-nucleotide long non-coding RNA is filed under the name Capsicum annuum. RNAcentral describes it as "long non-coding RNA (CANN_LNC019041)". The record is from RNAcentral. Lineage: Eukaryota; Viridiplantae; Streptophyta; Magnoliopsida; Solanales; Solanaceae.